CAAAAUUAUUUUCCUUUCACCAGUUUAUCGAAAUCAUCCGUUGAAUGAACAUAUAAAACCAAAAGUAUUAAAAAUUAAAAAUAAGCACAUAAUCCUUUGAAAUUUUUGAAAUUUUAUUAAAUUCUACGUUCUAUUCCGAAGAAAUCUUCUGAAAUGGCUGGUGGUCGUUGCUGUGUCCCUUCCUGCGGCCCCUGCCCGCCCGCUUGUGGGCCGUGCGGCCCCUGCUUUCCUCCCAGCUGCGGCCCGUGCUGUCCGAACGUGACCAUCUAUACGUGCUGCACGAAGAUUUGCUAACGUGUCACCGUGCCACAAUGCAGGAUCCCUUUUUUGAUCGUUGAAUAAAAAAUUUGAAAAUAUAAAUUC
This is a long non-coding RNA of Aricia agestis (brown argus), 363 nucleotides long. RefSeq lists it as uncharacterized. The transcript has 2 exons. The record is from RefSeq and is a predicted model, not a curated record. Lineage: Eukaryota; Metazoa; Arthropoda; Insecta; Lepidoptera; Lycaenidae.